UACGUAGGGUGCGAGCGUUAAUCGGAAUUACUGGGCGUAAAGCGUGCGCAGGCGGUUAUUUAAGUCAGGUGUGAAAGCCCUGGGCUUAACCUAGGAAUUGCGCUUGAGACUGGUUAGCUUGGAGUGCGGCAGAGGGAGGUGGAAUUCCACGUGUAGCAGUGAAAUGCGUAGAGAUGUGGAGGAACACCGAUGGCGAAGGCAGCCUCCUGGGCCAGCACUGACGCUCAUGCACGAAAGCGUGGGGAGCAAACAGG
Molecule: ribosomal RNA, 254 nt
Filed under: uncultured bacterium
Lineage: Bacteria
Description: partial 16S ribosomal RNA
Rfam family: Bacterial small subunit ribosomal RNA
Source: RNAcentral